Molecule: long non-coding RNA, 2289 nt
Organism: Cygnus olor (mute swan)
Lineage: Eukaryota; Metazoa; Chordata; Aves; Anseriformes; Anatidae
Exons: 2
Source: RefSeq, a predicted model, not a curated record
UUUCCCCUUUCCACCGGAGGAAAUUCAGCUAUUUUAAGAGUUAAUGGCUCUAAACGCGUUGGUUUUCCUGCAUCCUCCCCAGAGGUGACGGGGGCUGGAAAAGGAGGGGGGAUUCCAGUUUGGGGGUUUCGCUGCUGCUGUUUUCGUUCUGCCGAGAGCAGCCCGAAGCCGCUGACCCGAGCGGGGGGCCGUGCUCCGAGCAGCGAGCCCCCUGACACCUAGAGGUCAGGUGAAAGUCCCCAGCAGGUAAGCCGCGGGCCGCCCGGCGCGCUCGCUCCCCGCCCCACAAAUUGUUCCCUUCUGCCCACCCAAGUCGCUUCAAGCUGUGUUUAUUUAGGGGGCAACACAAAAAUUGCCGACCACCCAAUUCCCCUUCAAGACGGAGACCGCUCGCCGGUAGCCGGGGCCGCCUUCCCCUCCUCACAUCCCGCCCCCCUCCCCACAUUUCACCCUCUCCGGGGCUCCGCUUCCCAAAUCUCCGCACGCCACCGGGGGAGACCCAGGCAAGCCGUCAAGGGAAGGGGAAGCGUCGGGCUCAAGCCUUUUCGGGACACCCCCCCCCCCCCCCAAGAAAAACAGGGGUCCCAUCCACCAUCCUACAGCCCCCAAGAGCUGCCCUGUGCCCCGGGGGGGCGCAGCGCCGCGGCGGGCAGUGCCCGGGGUGCGAGGCUGCAGCCCGGCCCCGCAGAGCCGCCCCCCCCCCCCCCCGCCGGGACAGCUAUUGUUUCGUUCAAUUAGGCUCCGCUUGAUAAAAAACAAUCGCUCGUUAACCCUCGCCCUCCUCCCUGCCGGCUGGUGUGUUGUGAAUGGCGACAUCGUCUCCCUUGACCCCCGUCUCCUUUUUCUGUCUUUCUGUCCCCUGAAAAAUGAUUCCGCGAGCUCUGAUUGAAUUUUAUUCCUUCCUGACCUGGCCCGUUUUUAUUGCAUGGACACCAUCAAUCUUGACCUAACGCGACGUUUGUUUAUUACUUUGGAAAGAAGCGAAUGGCUUUAUGAGCCCCGGAGUAAUUAAAGCAGGAGGGCCGCAUUCACCGCGGCACCGCACCACCUUUGGGGCGGACUCACGACGCAGACGGGGAGGCGAGGGAGAAGAGGGAAAAAGAAAUAGGAAAAAAAAAAAUAAAGACGAGGGAAAGGCCGACGGGAUGCCGACGGUUCGCAGCCCACGGGCAUCCCACGGCCCCCUCAUGCUCGAGUUCCUCCCGAUAAGCGGGCGCGCAGUGCCUCUUGCGCAGCUCCCCGCGCAAAUCUGCGCUCGGCGCUGCCCCGCACGCCACCUGCGCCCCCGCGCAGCCCCAGCUCGGCCUCGGGCACCCCGCCGGCGCAGCAGUUCCCCGUGCGCCCCGCUGCGCUGCUCGCGGCCCUCCCAAAAUCCCGCGCAUACCAAGGCAACCGAACCGUCCGGCCAACGCCGAGGCGAGCAAGUGGGGGAAAAACGGCCCGAGGUUUCAAUGGCUUUACGACGGCGUUAAUUGGGAGCUAAUGUUCAAUUAGCGGCCAUCCCUACAGCAGAGGACGGGGGCGCGUCGCUCCGAGGCGCGCAGGAGCGCUCCUCUCCCCCUGCGCGCGUCCCGGCGCUCCGGGCUCCUGCCUACGCAAUCGAGAGGACGUCACAACCACGGCGAGCUGGUUGUGACCUCACACUCAUCUUCGUGUGGGCGCCCAGACGUGCUCAGCCCCCCGCUGUCCCUCGCAUCAGCGCCUGCCCCGGCCUGCGCGGCGGCAGCGCGCAAGCGAAGCCCCUGGAGCGCAAUUUCCAGCUCGCCCCGCUCCGGCUGCGCCGUUUUCUGGGGGGGCAGGGGGCUGCGCGCUACCGCAGUGCAGCCGGCUGGGCGAUGCGGUGCGACCCCAGGGCUGCCGAGCGGUACAAAGUUGGGCCGGGCUAUGAAAAUAGUCCCGGGUGAACUUUGAGGCUCUUUCCCCGAACUUGGCGACUUUCAGAAAGGGCCCCGGCUGCGGUGAAAGGCUCGUUUGCAACCGUUCCCUGAAGGUCUCCGUCCGCGACACAAACAGUUUCCCCGCAAACUGGUGUGUGGAGGCGAAAGCCCUGACAUCCACCUCGAGCCACAGACACGCCGCGAAGCUGCGCGCUGACCUGGCACCCAAGGGCGCCGCUCCGCAGGCAGGGCCGGGGCCUCGCAGCCGCACCGUCCCGCCGCCGCCGGCCGCACGUCCCUCGCACCGCCGCGGAGCUCUGCUGGGAGACAACCAGAGAUCAGGAGGGACCCUCCGCUUUGCCCCCUGCUCGCCAUCAUCAUCGUCACCACAAUAAAGUAAUAGCAAUAACAG